RNAcentral lists this ribosomal RNA (210 nucleotides) under Accumulibacter sp. RNAcentral describes it as "partial 16S ribosomal RNA". It matches the Rfam family "Bacterial small subunit ribosomal RNA", at positions 1 to 214 of the family's 1533-position model. Lineage: Bacteria; Pseudomonadati; Pseudomonadota; Betaproteobacteria. The record is from RNAcentral.
GAACUGAAGAGUUUGAUCCUGGCUCAGAUUGAACGCUGGCGGCAUGCCUUACACAUGCAAGUCGGACGGCAGCGCGGGGGAGACCUUGGCGGCGAGUGGCGAACGGGUGAGUAGAGCAUCGGAACGUAUCUGGGAGUGGGGGAUAACGUAGCGAAAGUUACGCUAAUACCGCAUAAACUGUGAGCAGAAAAGCAGGGGAUCGCAAGACCU